GGGAGGCUGGCGGCGGACGCGUCCCUCGCCAACCGGGUCAGGUCCGGAAGGAAGCAGCCCUAACGAGCCAGACGCGGGUCGUUGUCCAGCCUCCCGCU
This 98-nucleotide signal recognition particle RNA is filed under the name Hyphomicrobiales bacterium. RNAcentral's name for it is "Rhizobiales bacterium (sediment metagenome) signal recognition particle sRNA small type". It matches the Rfam family "Bacterial small signal recognition particle RNA". From Rfam's summary of the family: The signal recognition particle (SRP) is a universally conserved ribonucleoprotein involved in the co-translational targeting of proteins to membranes. Archaeal SRP consists of a 7S RNA and homologues of the eukaryotic SRP19 and SRP54 proteins. In most bacteria, the SRP consists of a 4.5S RNA and the Ffh protein (a homologue of the eukaryotic SRP54 protein). Lineage: Bacteria; Pseudomonadati; Pseudomonadota; Alphaproteobacteria; Hyphomicrobiales. The record is from RNAcentral.